Gadus morhua (Atlantic cod) is the source of this 1249-nucleotide long non-coding RNA. RefSeq lists it as uncharacterized. NCBI's taxonomy places the organism in Eukaryota, Metazoa, Chordata, Actinopteri, Gadiformes, Gadidae. The transcript is spliced from 2 exons. The record is from RefSeq and is a predicted model, not a curated record.
UAGCCCAUUUAAGCGCUAGGAACUCUAGCUUUCCAGAGUGAAGGUUAUAAUUUUUCUCUGGGGGGGUGAGCGUUCUGGACCCAUAUGAGCGUUCUGGACCCACGGCAAGCUAUUACCCUUAGCUUGCCGUGACUGCGCUGGUAAAGCACUGCUCCUAGUCCUGCCUGAGAAGCAUCCGUGUGCAGGACGAAUGGAUCAUUAAAGUCCGGGUAGCCUAGAAUUGGAGGGCUGGAGAGUUUGUCAAUCAGAUAACACAACACCUGCUGGUGAUUGUCAGUCCAUGAAACGUGUGUCCUUGAGGCACCGCUGGACUGGGCAUAGGGCAUGGCGGGCAUAUGCCCGGUGGCCUGAAGCCUUUUAUUUAUUUUUUUAUUCAUGCCAAACUCGCGUCUAACGUAGCAGGCCACGUUAACUUCAAUGCAGGCCACAUUAACGUCAAUUCAAGUUAAUGCAAGUUAAACUGGCAGAUCUGCCCUUUAUCAUGGUUGAUUGAAGCCUGGGCCAAUGAGGUGAGGGGCAGGCCAAUUUCGCCUACCCCUCCAUCUCAGCCUCCGUUGGUGACUUGGUUGGUUAGCCACUGCUAGCAGGCAGAUCGAAAACGGGCAAUAUGGACCCUAGUUGGAAGAAAAGAAAGGGUGGCGCUGAAAGAGCCAGGGACCAGAAAAAAGCAGCCCUUCAGGCAGAUGCUACGAAAUGCCUAAACAUAGCUGAUAUGUUUGCUGCUCGUGGACAUGGAGCCUCCACAUCUGCAGCAGCAGCAUCAACAGGUAGUGGAGGAGAAGAUGCUCGACAGCAGGUGGACGAGGCGGCCAUGACGGUUCCCAUGCUUAAGGAGUGCUGGGUGUUGCUGCUGAGAAGAGACAGAUGGGGUAGCAUCAGCAUCUCUCCCACUUGUUGGAUUGUGUGUGUGUGUGUGUGUGUGUGUGUGUGUGUGUGUGUGUGUGUGUGUGUGUGUGUGUGUUCUGGUCCAUUUGAAAGCUCUAAUUGGUUUGCAUGCUGCAUGUAAGUUACCCAUUCCUUUUCGUUUUAAUGUUUGUUUUAUUGAUAUUCAUAUUCUUAAUAUACAGUAUAAUUGUGUAUUUAUUUACUUUAUUUUUUCUAUUUAUUUUGUACAGUUAAGUUAAGCAAUUUAUUUUAUUUUGUACAGUUAAGUAAUUAUUGACUCAUUGUAAAUAUAAGUGUUUAACUUCAAUUGUUAUGUGUGUCAUCACUUUUUAUUUUAUAUUCAAAAUUAAAUGGAUGAAAAUCC